Molecule: long non-coding RNA, 15058 nt
Organism: Hydractinia symbiolongicarpus
Lineage: Eukaryota; Metazoa; Cnidaria; Hydrozoa; Anthoathecata; Hydractiniidae
Exons: 2
Source: RefSeq, a predicted model, not a curated record
UCAUUUUUGAUGAGACGCUGAAUAAAAGAAGUUUAAACGCCGGCAAACGAAAACCCGCGACUUCCCGUAAAUCCCGGACUCGGCCCGUAUAAUCAAAAGUAUACAAAGAAAGUAUCCAGGGAGUAAACUCAUUUCCGAACGAUUUUUUAAAAUAUUUUUUCACCACUAAAACGCAUGAGACUUGUAGUUUUCAAAAAUGUUUUCAUUUUUGAUGAGACGCUGAAUAAAAGAAGUUUAAUCGCCGGCAAACGAAAACCUGCGAUUUCCCGUAAAUCCCGGACUUGGCCCGUAUAGUAAAGAAAGUACCCGAGUUGUAAACUCAUUUCACGAACGAUUUUUUAAAUUAUUAUUUCACCACUAAAUCCCAUGAGACUUAUAGUUUUUCAAAAAUGUUUUCAUUUUUGAUGAGACGCUGAAUAAAAGAAGUUUAAUCGCCGGCAAACGAAAACCCGCCAUUUCCUGUAAACCCCGGACUCGGCCCAUAUAGUCAAAAGUAUACAAAGAAAUUACCCAGGGAGUGAACUCAUUUUCCGAACGAUUUUUUAAAUUAUUUUUUCACCACUACAACGCAUGAGACUUGUAGUUUUUAAAAAUGUUUUCAUUUUUGAUGAGACGCUGAAUAAAAGAAGUUUAAUCGCCGGCAAACGAAAACCCGCCGUAAACCCCGGACUCGACCCGUAUAGUCAAAAGUAUACAAAGAAAGUACCCAGGGAGUAAACUCAUUUCCCGAACGAUUUUUUAUAUUUCUUUUCUACCACUAAACGCAUGAGACUUGUAGUUUUCAAAAAUAUUUUCAUAUUUGAUGGGACGCUGAAUAAAAGGUGUUUAAUCGCCGGAAAACGAAAAUCCGCGAUUUCCCGUAAAUCCCAAACUCGGCCCGUAUAGUCAAAAGUAUACAAAAAAGAAGUUUAAUCGCCGGCAAACGAAAAGCUGCGAUUUCCCGUAAAUCCCGGACUCGGCCCGUAUAGUCAAAAGUAUACAAAGAAAGUACCCGGGGUGUAAACUCAUUUCCCGAACGAUUUUUUAAAUUAUUUUUUCACCACUAAAACGCAUGAGACUUGUAGUUUUCAAAAAUGUUUUCAUUUUUGAUGAGACGCUGAAUAGAAGAAGUUUAAUCGCCGGCAAACGAAAACACGCCAUUUCCCGUAAACACUGGACUCGGCCCGUAUAAUCAAAAGUAUACAAAGAAAGUACCCAGGGAGUAAACUCAUUUCCCGAACGAUUUUUUAAAUUAUUUUUUCACCACUAAAACGCAUGAGACUUGUAAUUUUCAAAAAUGUUUUCAUUUUUGAUGAGACGCUGAAUAAAAGAAGUUUAAUCGCCGGCAAACGAAAAUCCGCCAUUUCCCGUAAACCCCGGACUCAAGCGGGCAUAGUCAAAAGUAAACAAAGAAAGUACCCAGGAAGUAAACUCAUUUCCCGAACGAUUUUUUAAAUUAUUUUUUCACCACUAAAACGCAUGAGACUUGUAGUUUUCAAAAAUGUUUUCAUUUUUGAUGAGACGCUGAAUAAAAGAAGUUUAAUCGCCGGCAAACGAAUACCUGCGAUUUCCCGUAAAUCCCGGACUCGGCCCGUAUAGUCAAAAGUAUACAAAGAAAGUACCCAGGGUGUAAACUUAUUUCCCGAACGAUUUUUUAAAUUAUUAUUUCACCACUAAAGCCCAUGAGACUUGUAGUUUUUAAAAAUGUUUUCAUUUUUGAUGAGACGCUGAAUAAAAGAAGUUUAUUCGCCGGCAAACGAAAACCUGCGAUUUCCCGUAAAUCCCGGACUCGGCCCGUAUAGUAAAGAAAGUACCCGGGGUGUAAACUCAUUUCCCGAACGAUUUUUUAAAUUAUUUUUUCACCACUACAACGCAUGAGACUUGUAGUUUUUAAAAAUGUUUUCAUUUUUGAUGAGACGCUGAAUAAAAGAAGUUUAAUCGCCGGCAAACGAAAGCCCGCCAUUUCCCGUAAACCCCGGACUCGGCCCGUAUAGUCAAAAGUAUACAAAGAAAUUACCCAGGGAGUAAACUCAUUUUCUGAACGAUUUUUUAAAUUAUUUUUUCACCACUAAAACGCAUGAGACUUGUAGUUUUCAAAAAUGUUUUCAUUUUUGAUGAGACGGUUAAUGAAAGAAGUUUAAUCGCCGGCAAACGAAAACCCGCGAUUUCCCGUAAAUCCCGGGCUUGGCCCGUAUAGUCGAAUGUAUACGAAGAAAGUACCCUGUGAGUAAACUCAUUUCCCGAACAAUUUUUUGUAUUUUUUUUUUACCACUAAACGCAUGAGACUUGUAGUUUUCAAAAAUAUUUUCAUAUUUGAUGGGACGCUGAAUAAAAGAUGUUUAAUCGCCGGAAAACGAAAAUCCGCGAUUUCCCGUAAAUCCGAAACUCGGCCCGUAUAGUCAAAAGUAUACAAAAAAGAAGUUUAAUCGCUGGCAAACGAAAACCUGCGAUUUCCCGUAAAUCCCGGACUCGGCCCGUAUAGUCAAAAGUAUACAAAGAAAGUACCCGGGGUGUAAACACAUUUGCCGAACGAUUUUUUAAAUUAUUUUUUCACCACUAAAACGCAUGAGACUUGUAGUUUUCAAAAAUGUUUUCAUUUUUGAUGAGACGCUGAAUAAAAGAAGUUUAAUCGCCGGCAAACGAAAACCCGCCGUAAACCCCGGACUCGACCCGUAUAGUCAAAAGUAUACAAAGAAAGUACCCAGGGAGUAAACUCAUUUCCCGAACGAUUUUUUAUAUUUCUUUUCUACCACUAAACGCAUGAGACUUGUAGUUUUCAAAAAUAUUUUCAUAUUUGAUGGGACGCUGAAUAAAAGGUGUUUAAUCGCCGGAAAACGAAAAUCCGCGAUUUCCCGUAAAUCCCAAACUCGGCCCGUAUAGUCAAAAGUAUACAAAAAAGAAGUUUAAUCGCCGGCAAACGAAAAGCUGCGAUUUCCCGUAAAUCCCGGACUCGGCCCGUAUAGUCAAAAGUAUACAAAGAAAGUACCCGGGGUGUAAACUCAUUUCCCGAACGAUUUUUUAAAUUAUUUUUUCACCACUAAAACGCAUGAGACUUGUAGUUUUCAAAAAUGUUUUCAUUUUUGAUGAGACGCUGAAUAGAAGAAGUUUAAUCGCCGGCAAACGAAAACACGCCAUUUCCCGUAAACACUGGACUCGGCCCGUAUAAUCAAAAGUAUACAAAGAAAGUACCCAGGGAGUAAACUCAUUUCCCGAACGAUUUUUUAAAUUAUUUUUUCACCACUAAAACGCAUGAGACUUGUAAUUUUCAAAAAUGUUUUCAUUUUUGAUGAGACGCUGAAUAAAAGAAGUUUAAUCGCCGGCAAACGAAAAUCCGCCAUUUCCCGUAAACCCCGGACUCAAGCGGGCAUAGUCAAAAGUAAACAAAGAAAGUACCCAGGAAGUAAACUCAUUUCCCGAACGAUUUUUUAAAUUAUUUUUUCACCACUAAAACGCAUGAGACUUGUAGUUUUCAAAAAUGUUUUCAUUUUUGAUGAGACGCUGAAUAAAAGAAGUUUAAUCGCCGGCAAACGAAUACCUGCGAUUUCCCGUAAAUCCCGGACUCGGCCCGUAUAGUCAAAAGUAUACAAAGAAAGUACCCAGGGUGUAAACUUAUUUCCCGAACGAUUUUUUAAAUUAUUAUUUCACCACUAAAGCCCAUGAGACUUGUAGUUUUUAAAAAUGUUUUCAUUUUUGAUGAGACGCUGAAUAAAAGAAGUUUAUUCGCCGGCAAACGAAAACCUGCGAUUUCCCGUAAAUCCCGGACUCGGCCCGUAUAGUAAAGAAAGUACCCGGGUUGUAAACUCAUUUCACGAACGAUUUUUUAAAUUAUUAUUUCACCACUAAAUCCCAUGAGACUUAUAGUUUUUCAAAAAUGUUUUCAUUUUUGAUGAGACGCUGAAUAAAAGAAGUUUAAUCGCCGGCAAACGAAAACCCGCCAUUUCCCGUAAACCCCGGACUCGGCCCGUAUAGUCAAAAGUAUACAAAGAAAUUACCCAGGGAGUAAACUCAUUUUCUGAACGAUUUUUUAAAUUAUUUUUUCACCACUAAAACGCAUGAGACUUGUAGUUUUCAAAAAUGUUUUCAUUUUUGAUGAGACGGUUAAUGAAAGAAGUUUAAUCGCCGGCAAACGAAAACCCGCGAUUUCCCGUAAAUCCCGGGCUUGGCCCGUAUAGUCGAAUGUAUACAAAGAAAGUACCCUCUGAGUAAACUCAUUUCCCGAACGAUUUUUUAUAUUUUUUUUUUACCACUAAACGCAUGAGACUUGUAGUUUUCAAAAAUAUUUUGAUAUUUGAUGGGACGCUGAAUAAAAGAAGUUUAAUCGCCGGAAAACAAAAAUCCACGAUUUCCCGUAAAUCCCAAACUCGGCCCGUAUAGUCAAAAGUAUACAAAAAAGAAGUUUAAUCGCCGGCAAACGAAAACCUGCGAUUUCCCGUAAAUCCCGGACUCGGCCCGUAUAGUCAAAAGUAUACAAAGAAAGUACCCAGGGUGUAAACUCAUUUCCCGAACGAUUUUUUAAAUUAUUUUUUCACCACUACAACGCAUGAGACUUGUAGUUUUUAAAAAUGUUUUCAUUUUUGAUGAGACGCUGAAUAAAAGAAGUUUAAUCGCCGGCAAACGAAAGCCCGCCAUUUCCCGUAAACCCCGGACUCGGCCCGUAUAGUCAAAAGUAUACAAAGAAAUUACCCAGGGAGUAAACUCAUUUUCUGAACGAUUUUUUAAAUUAUUUUUUCACCACUAAAACGCAUGAGACUUGUAGUUUUCAAAAAUGUUUUCAUUUUUGAUGAGACGGUUAAUGAAAGAAGUUUAAUCGCCGGCAAACGAAAACCCGCGAUUUCCCGUAAAUCCCGGGCUUGGCCCGUAUAGUCGAAUGUAUACGAAGAAAGUACCCUGUGAGUAAACUCAUUUCCCGAACAAUUUUUUGUAUUUUUUUUUUACCACUAAACGCAUGAGACUUGUAGUUUUCAAAAAUAUUUUCAUAUUUGAUGGGACGCUGAAUAAAAGAUGUUUAAUCGCCGGAAAACGAAAAUCCGCGAUUUCCCGUAAAUCCGAAACUCGGCCCGUAUAGUCAAAAGUAUACAAAAAAGAAGUUUAAUCGCUGGCAAACGAAAACCUGCGAUUUCCCGUAAAUCCCGGACUCGGCCCGUAUAGUCAAAAGUAUACAAAGAAAGUACCCGGGGUGUAAACACAUUUGCCGAACGAUUUUUUAAAUUAUUUUUUCACCACUAAAACGCAUGAGACUUGUAGUUUUCAAAAAUGUUUUCAUUUUUGAUGAGACGCUGAAUAAAAGAAGUUUAAUCGCCGGCAAACGAAAACCCGCCAUUUCCCGUAAACACUGGACUCGGCCCGUAUAAUCAAAAGUAUACAAAGAAAGUACCCAGGGAGUAAACUCAUUUCCCGAACGAUUUUUUAAAUUAUUUUUUCACCAUUAAAACGCAUGAGACUUGUAAUUUUCAAAAAUGUUUUCAUUUUUGAUGAGACGCUGAAUAAAAGAAGUUUAAUUGCCGGCAAACGAAAAUCCGCCAUUUCCCGUAAACCCCGGACUCAAGCGGGCAUAGUCAAAAGUAAACAAAGAAAGUACCCAGGAAGUAAACUCAUUUCCCGAACGAUUUUUUAAAUUAUUUUUUCACCACUAAACGCAUGAGACUUGUAGUUUUCAAAAAUAUUUUCAUAUUUGAUGGGACGCUGAAUAAAAGAUGUUUAAUCGCCGGAAAACGAAAAUCCGCGAUUUCCCGUAAAUCCGAAACUCGGCCCGUAUAGUCAAAAGUAUACAAAAAAGAAGUUUAAUCGCUGGCAAACGAAAACCUGCGAUUUCCCGUAAAUCCCGGACUCGGCCCGUAUAGUCAAAAGUAUACAAAGAAAGUACCCGGGGUGUAAACUCAUUUGCCGAACGAUUUUUUAAAUUAUUUUUUCACCACUAAAACGCAUGAGACUUGUAGUUUUCAAAAAUGUUUUCAUUUUUGAUGAGACGCUGAAUAAAAGAAGUUUAAUCGCCGGCAAACGAAAACCCGCCAUUUCCCGUAAACACUGGACUCGGCCCGUAUAAUCAAAAGUAUACAAAGAAAGUACCCAGGGAGUAAACUCAUUUCCCGAACGAUUUUUUAAAUUAUUUUUUCACCACUAAAACGCAUGAGACUUGUAGUUUUCAAAAAUGUUUUCAUUUUUGAUGAGACGCUGAAUAGAAGAAGUUUAAUCGCCGGCAAACGAAAACACGCCAUUUCCCGUAAACACUGGACUCGGCCCGUAUAAUCAAAAGUAUACAAAGAAAGUACCCAGGGAGUAAACUCAUUUCCCGAACGAUUUUUUAAAUUAUUUUUUCACCACUAAAACGCAUGAGACUUGUAAUUUUCAAAAAUGUUUUCAUUUUUGAUGAGACGCUGAAUAAAAGAAGUUUAAUCGCCGGCAAACGAAAAUCCGCCAUUUCCCGUAAACCCCGGACUCAAGCGGGCAUAGUCAAAAGUAAACAAAGAAAGUACCCAGGAAGUAAACUCAUUUCCCGAACGAUUUUUUAAAUUAUUUUUUCACCACUAAAACGCAUGAGACUUGUAGUUUUCAAAAAUGUUUUCAUUUUUGAUGAGACGCUGAAUAAAAGAAGUUUAAUCGCCGGCAAACGAAUACCUGCGAUUUCCCGUAAAUCCCGGACUCGGCCCGUAUAGUCAAAAGUAUACAAAGAAAGUACCCAGGGUGUAAACUUAUUUCCCGAACGAUUUUUUAAAUUAUUAUUUCACCACUAAAGCCCAUGAGACUUGUAGUUUUUAAAAAUGUUUUCAUUUUUGAUGAGACGCUGAAUAAAAGAAGUUUAAUCGCCGGCAAACGAAAACCUGCGAUUUCCCGUAAAUCCCGGACUCGGCCCGUAUAGUAAAGAAAGUACCCGGGUUGUAAACUCAUUUCACGAACGAUUUUUUAAAUUAUUAUUUCACCACUAAAUCCCAUGAGACUUAUAGUUUUUCAAAAAUGUUUUCAUUUUUGAUGAGACGCUGAAUAAAAGAAGUUUAAUCGCCGGCAAACGAAAACCCGCCAUUUCCCGUAAACCCCGGACUCGGCCCGUAUAGUCAAAAGUAUACAAAGAAAUUACCCAGGGAGUAAACUCAUUUUCUGAACGAUUUUUUAAAUUAUUUUUUCACCACUAAAACGCAUGAGACUUGUAGUUUUCAAAAAUGUUUUCAUUUUUGAUGAGACGGUUAAUGAAAGAAGUUUAAUCGCCGGCAAACGAAAACCCGCGAUUUCCCGUAAAUCCCGGGCUUGGACCGUAUAGUCGAAUGUAUACAAAGAAAGUACCCUCUGAGUAAACUCAUUUCCCGAACGAUUUUUUAUAUUUUUUUUUUACCACUAAACGCAUGAGACUUGUAGUUUUCAAAAAUAUUUUGAUAUUUGAUGGGACGCUGAAUAAAAGAAGUUUAAUCGCCGGAAAACAAAAAUCCACGAUUUCCCGUAAAUCCCAAACUCGGCCCGUAUAGUCAAAAGUAUACAAAAAAGAAGUUUAAUCGCCGGCAAACGAAAACCUGCGAUUUCCCGUAAAUCCCGGACUCGGCCCGUAUAGUCAAAAGUAUACAAAGAAAGUACCCAGGGUGUAAACUCAUUUCCUGAACGAUUUUUUAAAUUAUUUUUUCACCACUACAACGCAUGAGACUUGUAGUUUUUAAAAAUGUUUUCAUUUUUGAUGAGACGCUGAAUAAAAGAAGUUUAAUCGCCGGCAAACGAAAGCCCGCCAUUUCCCGUAAACCCCGGACUCGGCCCGUAUAGUCAAAAGUAUACAAAGAAAUUACCCAGGUAGUAAACUCAUUUUCUGAACGAUUUUUUAAAUUAUUUUUUCACCACUAAAACGCAUGAGACUUGUAGUUUUCAAAAAUGUUUUCAUUUUUGAUGAGACGGUUAAUGAAAGAAGUUUAAUCGCCGGCAAACGAAAACCCGCGAUUUCCCGUAAAUCCCGGGCUUGGCCCGUAUAGUCGAAUGUAUACGAAGAAAGUACCCUGUGAGUAAACUCAUUUCCCGAACAAUUUUUUGUAUUUUUUUUUUACCACUAAACGCAUGAGACUUGUAGUUUUCAAAAAUAUUUUCAUAUUUGAUGGGACGCUGAAUAAAAGAUGUUUAAUCGCCGAAAAACGAAAAUCCGCGAUUUCCCGUAAAUCCGAAACUCGGCCCGUAUAGUCAAAAGUAUACAAAAAAGAAGUUUAAUCGCUGGCAAACGAAAACCUGCGAUUUCCCGUAAAUCCCGGACUCGGCCCGUAUAGUCAAAAGUAUACAAAGAAAGUACCCGGGGUGUAAACACAUUUGCCGAACGAUUUUUUAAAUUAUUUUUUCACCACUAAAACGCAUGAGACUUGUAGUUUUCAAAAAUGUUUUCAUUUUUGAUGAGACGCUGAAUAAAAGAAGUUUAAUCGCCGGCAAACGAAAACCCGCCAUUUCCCGUAAACACUGGACUCGGCCCGUAUAAUCAAAAGUAUACAAAGAAAGUACCCAGGGAGUAAACUCAUUUCCCGAACGAUUUUUUAAAUUAUUUUUUCACCACUAAAACGCAUGAGACUUGUAAUUUUCAAAAAUGUUUUCAUUUUUGAUGAGACGCUGAAUAAAAGAAGUUUAAUUGCCGGCAAACGAAAAUCCGCCAUUUCCCGUAAACCCCGGACUCAAGCGGGCAUAGUCAAAAGUAAACAAAGAAAGUACCCAGGAAGUAAACUCAUUUCCCGAACGAUUUUUUAAAUUAUUUUUUCACCACUAAACGCAUGAGACUUGUAGUUUUCAAAAAUAUUUUCAUAUUUGAUGGGACGCUGAAUAAAAGAUGUUUAAUCGCCGGAAAACGAAAAUCCGCGAUUUCCCGUAAAUCCGAAACUCGGCCCGUAUAGUCAAAAGUAUACAAAAAAGAAGUUUAAUCGCUGGCAAACGAAAACCUGCGAUUUCCCGUAAAUCCCGGACUCGGCCCGUAUAGUCAAAAGUAUACAAAGAAAGUACCCGGGGUGUAAACUCAUUUGCCGAACGAUUUUUUAAAUUAUUUUUUCACCACUAAAACGCAUGAGACUUGUAGUUUUCAAAAAUGUUUUCAUUUUUGAUGAGACGCUGAAUAAAAGAAGUUUAAUCGCCGGCAAACGAAAACCCGCCAUUUCCCGUAAACACUGGACUCGGCCCGUAUAAUCAAAAGUAUACAAAGAAAGUACCCAGGGAGUAAACUCAUUUCCCGAACGAUUUUUUAAAUUUAUUUUUCACCACUAAAACGCAUGAGACUUGUAAUUUUCAAAAAUGUUUUCAUUUUUGAUGAGACGCUGAAUAAAAGAAGUUUAAUUGCCGGCAAACGAAAAUCCGCCAUUUCCCGUAAACCCCGGACUCAAGCGGGCAUAGUCAAAAGUAAACAAAGAAAGUACCCAGGAAGUAAACUCAUUUCCCGAACGAUUUUUUAAAUUAUUUUUUCACCACUAAAACGCAUGAGACUUGUAGUUUUCAAAAAUGUUUUCAUUUUUGAUGAGACGCUGAAUAAAAGAAGUUUAAUCGCUGGCAAACGAAUACCUGCGAUUUCCCGUAAAUCCCGGACUCGGCCCGUAUAGUCAAAAGUAUACAAAGAAAGUACCCAGGGUGUAAACUUAUUUCCCGAACGAUUUUUUAAAUUAUUAUUUCACCACUAAAGCCCAUGAGACUUGUAGUUUUUAAAAAUGUUUUCAUUUUUGAUGAGACGCUAAAUAAAAGAAGUUUAAACGCCGGCAAACGAAAACCCGCGACUUCCCGUAAAUCCCGGACUCGGCCCGUAUAGUCAAAAGUAUACAAAGAAAGUACCCAGGGAGUAAACUCAUUCCCGAACGAUAUUUUAAAAUAUUAUUUCACCACUAAAGCCCAUGAGACUUGUAGUUUUCAAAAAUGUUUUCAUUUUUGAUGAGACGCUGAAUAAAAGAAGUUUAAUCGCCGGCAAACGAAUACCUGCGAUUUCCCGUAAAUCCCGGACUCGGCCCGUAUAGUCAAAAGUAUACAAAGAAAGUACCCAGGGUGUAAACUCAUUUCCUGAACGAUUUUUUAAAUUAUUUUUUCACCACUACAACGCAUGAGACUUGUAGUUUUUAAAAAUGUUUUCAUUUUUGAUGAGACGCUGAAUAAAAGAAGUUUAAUCGCCGGCAAACGAAAGCCCGCCAUUUCCCGUAAACCCCGGACUCGGCCCGUAUAGUCAAAAGUAUACAAAGAAAUUACCCAGGUAGUAAACUCAUUUUCUGAACGAUUUUUUAAAUUAUUUUUUCACCACUAAAACGCAUGAGACUUGUAGUUUUCAAAAAUGUUUUCAUUUUUGAUGAGACGGUUAAUGAAAGAAGUUUAAUCGCCGGCAAACGAAAACCCGCGAUUUCCCGUAAAUCCCGGGCUUGGCCCGUAUAGUCGAAUGUAUACGAAGAAAGUACCCUGUGAGUAAACUCAUUUCCCGAACAAUUUUUUGUAUUUUUUUUUUACCACUAAACGCAUGAGACUUGUAGUUUUCAAAAAUAUUUUCAUAUUUGAUGGGACGCUGAAUAAAAGAUGUUUAAUCGCCGAAAAACGAAAAUCCGCGAUUUCCCGUAAAUCCGAAACUCGGCCCGUAUAGUCAAAAGUAUACAAAAAAGAAGUUUAAUCGCUGGCAAACGAAAACCUGCGAUUUCCCGUAAAUCCCGGACUCGGCCCGUAUAGUCAAAAGUAUACAAAGAAAGUACCCGGGGUGUAAACACAUUUGCCGAACGAUUUUUUAAAUUAUUUUUUCACCACUAAAACGCAUGAGACUUGUAGUUUUCAAAAAUGUUUUCAUUUUUGAUGAGACGCUGAAUAAAAGAAGUUUAAUCGCCGGCAAACGAAAACCCGCCAUUUCCCGUAAACACUGGACUCGGCCCGUAUAAUCAAAAGUAUACAAAGAAAGUACCCAGGGAGUAAACUCAUUUCCCGAACGAUUUUUUAAAUUAUUUUUUCACCACUAAAACGCAUGAGACUUGUAAUUUUCAAAAAUGUUUUCAUUUUUGAUGAGACGCUGAAUAAAAGAAGUUUAAUUGCCGGCAAACGAAAAUCCGCCAUUUCCCGUAAACCCCGGACUCAAGCGGGCAUAGUCAAAAGUAAACAAAGAAAGUACCCAGGAAGUAAACUCAUUUCCCGAACGAUUUUUUAAAUUAUUUUUUCACCACUAAACGCAUGAGACUUGUAGUUUUCAAAAAUAUUUUCAUAUUUGAUGGGACGCUGAAUAAAAGAUGUUUAAUCGCCGGAAAACGAAAAUCCGCGAUUUCCCGUAAAUCCGAAACUCGGCCCGUAUAGUCAAAAGUAUACAAAAAAGAAGUUUAAUCGCUGGCAAACGAAAACCUGCGAUUUCCCGUAAAUCCCGGACUCGGCCCGUAUAGUCAAAAGUAUACAAAGAAAGUACCCGGGGUGUAAACUCAUUUGCCGAACGAUUUUUUAAAUUAUUUUUUCACCACUAAAACGCAUGAGACUUGUAGUUUUCAAAAAUGUUUUCAUUUUUGAUGAGACGCUGAAUAAAAGAAGUUUAAUCGCCGGCAAACGAAAACCCGCCAUUUCCCGUAAACACUGGACUCGGCCCGUAUAAUCAAAAGUAUACAAAGAAAGUACCCAGGGAGUAAACUCAUUUCCCGAACGAUUUUUUAAAUUUAUUUUUCACCACUAAAACGCAUGAGACUUGUAAUUUUCAAAAAUGUUUUCAUUUUUGAUGAGACGCUGAAUAAAAGAAGUUUAAUUGCCGGCAAACGAAAAUCCGCCAUUUCCCGUAAACCCCGGACUCAAGCGGGCAUAGUCAAAAGUAAACAAAGAAAGUACCCAGGAAGUAAACUCAUUUCCCGAACGAUUUUUUAAAUUAUUUUUUCACCACUAAAACGCAUGAGACUUGUAGUUUUCAAAAAUGUUUUCAUUUUUGAUGAGACGCUGAAUAAAAGAAGUUUAAUCGCUGGCAAACGAAUACCUGCGAUUUCCCGUAAAUCCCGGACUCGGCCCGUAUAGUCAAAAGUAUACAAAGAAAGUACCCAGGGUGUAAACUUAUUUCCCGAACGAUUUUUUAAAUUAUUAUUUCACCACUAAAGCCCAUGAGACUUGUAGUUUUUAAAAAUGUUUUCAUUUUUGAUGAGACGCUAAAUAAAAGAAGUUUAAACGCCGGCAAACGAAAACCCGCGACUUCCCGUAAAUCCCGGACUCGGCCCGUAUAGUCAAAAGUAUACAAAGAAAGUACCCAGGGAGUAAACUCAUUCCCGAACGAUAUUUUAAAAUAUUAUUUCACCACUAAAGCCCAUGAGACUUGUAGUUUUCAAAAAUGUUUUCAUUUUUGAUGAGACGCUGAAUAAAAGAAGUUUAAUCGCCGGCAAACGAAUACCUGCGAUUUCCCGUAAAUCCCGGACUCGGCCCGUAUAGUCAAAAGUAUACAAAGAAAGUACCCAGGGUGUAAACUUACUUCCCGAAAGAUUUUUUAAAUUAUUAUUUCACCACUAAAGCCCAUGAGACUUGUAGUUUUUAAAAAUGUUUUCAUUUUUGAUGAGACGCUGAAUAAAAGAAGUUUAAACGCCGGCAAACGAAAACCCGCGACUUCCCGUAAAUCCCGGACUCGGCCCGUAUAGUCAAAAGUAUACAAAGAAAGUACCCAGGGAGUAAACUCAUUUCCCGAACGAUUUUUUAAAAUAUUUUUUCACCACUAAAACGCAUGAGACUUGUAGUUUUCAAAAAUGUUUUCAUUUUUGAUGAGACGCUGAAUAAAAGAAGUUUAAUCGCCGGCAAACGAAAACCUGCGAUUUCCCGUAAAUCCCGGACUCGGCCCGUAUAGUAAAGAAAGUACCCGGGUUGUAAACUCAUUUCACGAACGAUUUUUUAAAUUAUUAUUUCACCACUAAAUCCCAUGAGACUUAUAGUUUUUCAAAAAUGUUUUCAUUUUUGAUGAGACGCUGAAUAAAAGAAGUUUAAUCGCCGGCAAACGAAAACCCGCCAUUUCCUGUAAACCCCGGACUCGGCCCGUAUAGUCAAAAGUAUACAAAGAAAUUACCCAGCAAGUGAACUCAUUUUCCGAACGAUUUUUUAAAUUAUUUUUUCACCACUACAACGCAUGAGACUUGUAGUUUUUAAAAAUGUUUUCAUUUUUGAUGAGACGCUGAAUAAAAGAAGUUUAAUCGCCGGCAAACGAAAACCCGCCAUUUCCCGUAAACCCCGGACUCGGCCCGUAUAGUCAAAAAUAUACAAAGAAAUUACCCAGGGAGUAAACUCAUUUUCUGAACCAUUUUUUUAAAUUAUUUUUUCACCACUAAAACGCAUGAGACUUGUAGUUUUCAAAAAUGUUUUCAUUUUUGAUGAGACUGUUAAUGAAAGAAGUUUAAUCGCCGGCAAACGAAAACCCGCGAUUUCCCGUAAAUCCCGGGCUUGGCCCGUAUAGUCGAAUGUAUACAAAGAAAGUACCCUGUGAGUAAACUCAUUUCCCGAACGAUUUUUUAAAUUAUUUUUUCACCACUAAAACGCAUGAGACUUGUAGUUUUCAAAAAUGUUUUCAUUUUUGAUGAGACGCUGAAUAAAAGAAGUUUAAUCGCCGGCAAAGGAAAACCUGCGAUUUCCCGUAAAUCCCGGACUCGGCCCGUAUAGUAAAGAAAGUACCCGGGAUGUAAACUCAUUUCCCGAACGAUUUUUUAAAUUAUUUUUUCACCACUAAAACGCAUGAGACUUGUAGUUUUCAAAAAUGUUUUCAUUUUUGAUGAGACGCUGAAUAAAAGAAGUUUAAUCGCCGGCAAACGAAAACCCGCCGUAAACCCCGGACUCGACCCGUAUAGUCAAAAGUAUACAAAAAAGAAGUUUAAUCGCUGGCAAACAGAAACCUGCGAUUUCCCGUAAAUCCCGGACUCGGCCCGUAUAGUCAAAAGUAUACAAAGAAAGUACCCGGGGUGUAAACUCAUUUCCCGAACGAUUUUUUAAAUUAUUUUUUCACCACUAAAACGCAUGAGACUUGUAGUUUUCAAAAAUGUUUUCAUUUUUGAUGAGACGCUGAAUAAAAGAAGUUUAAUCGCCGGCAAACGAAAACCCGCCAUUUCCCGUAAACACUGGACUCGGCCCGUAUAAUCAAAAGUAUACAAAGAAAGUACCCAGGGAGUAAACUCAUUUCCCGAACGAUAUUUUAAAUUAUUUUUUCACCACUUAAACGCAUGAGACUGGUAGUUUUCAAAAAUGUUUUCAUUUUUGAUGAGACGCUGAAUAAAAGAAGUUUAAUCGCCGGCAAACGAAAACCCGCCAUUUCCCGUAAACCCCGGACUCGGCCCGUAUAGUCAAAAGUAUACAAAGAAAUUACCCACGGAGUAAACUCAUUUUCUGAACGAUUUUUUAAAUUAUUAUUUCACCACUAAAUCCCAUGAGACUUAUAGUUUUUCAAAAAUGUUUUCAUUUUUGAUGAGACGCUGAAUAAAAGAAGUUUAAUCGCCGGCAAACGAAAACCCGCCAUUUCCUGUAAACCCCGGACUCGGCCCGUAUAGUCAAAAGUAUACAAAGAAAUUACCCAGCAAGUGAACUCAUUUUCCGAACGAUUUUUUAAAUUAUUUUUUCACCACUACAACGCAUGAGACUUGUAGUUUUUAAAAAUGUUUUCAUUUUUGAUGAGACGCUGAAUAAAAGAAGUUUAAUCGCCGGCAAACGAAAACCCGCCAUUUCCCGUAAACCCCGGACUCGGCCCGUAUAGUCAAAAAUAUACAAAGAAAUUACCCAGGGAGUAAACUCAUUUUCUGAACCAUUUUUUUAAAUUAUUUUUUCACCACUAAAACGCAUGAGACUUGUAGUUUUCAAAAAUGUUUUCAUUUUUGAUGAGACUGUUAAUGAAAGAAGUUUAAUCGCCGGCAAACGAAAACCCGCGAUUUCCCGUAAAUCCCGGGCUUGGCCCGUAUAGUCGAAUGUAUACAAAGAAAGUACCCUGUGAGUAAACUCAUUUCCCGAACGAUUUUUUAAAUUAUUUUUUCACCACUAAAACGCAUGAGACUUGUAGUUUUCAAAAAUGUUUUCAUUUUUGAUGAGACGCUGAAUAAAAGAAGUUUAAUCGCCGGCAAAGGAAAACCUGCGAUUUCCCGUAAAUCCCGGACUCGGCCCGUAUAGUAAAGAAAGUACCCGGGAUGUAAACUCAUUUCCCGAACGAUUUUUUAAA